AUACGUAGGUGGCAAGCGUUGUCCGGAAUUAUUGGGCGUAAAGCGCGCGCAGGUGGUUCCUUAAGUCUGAUGUGAAAGCCCCCGGCUCAACCGGGGAGGGUCAUUGGAAACUGGGGAACUUGAGUGCAGAAGAGGAUAGUGGAAUUCCAAGUGUAGCGGUGAAAUGCGUAGAGAUUUGGAGGAACACCAGUGGCGAAGGCGACUGUCGGGUCUGUAACUGACACUGAGGCGCGAAAGCGUGGGGAGCAAACAGGAUUAGAUACCCUGGCAGUCCACGCCGUAAACGAUGAGUGCUAAGUGUUGGGGGGUUUCCGCCCCUCAGUGCUGCAGCUAACGCAUUAAGCACUCCGCCUGGGGAGUACGGUCGCAAGACUGAAACUCAAAUGAAUUGACGGGG
RNAcentral lists this ribosomal RNA (397 nucleotides) under uncultured bacterium. RNAcentral describes it as "partial 16S ribosomal RNA". It matches the Rfam family "Bacterial small subunit ribosomal RNA", at positions 523 to 918 of the family's 1533-position model. The record is from RNAcentral.